UGAUGCAGCACGCCGCGUGAGGGAUGACGGCCUUCGGGUUGUAAACCUCUUUCAGGAGGGAAGAAAUUGACGGUACCUCCAAAAGAAGCCCCGGCUAACUACGUGCCAGCAGCCGCGGUAAUACGUAGGGGGCGAGCGUUGUCCGGAUUUAUUGGGCGUAAAGAGCUCGUAGGCGGCUCAGUAAGUCGGCUGUGAAAGUCCGAGGCUCAACCUCGGAACUGCAGUCGAUACUGCUGUGGCUAGAGUCAGGUAGAGGAGAAUGGAAUUCCCGGUGUAGCGGUGGAAUGCGCAGAUAUCGGGAGGAACACCAGUAGCGAAGGCGGUUCUCUGGGCCUGUACUGACGCUGAGGAGCGAAAGCGUGGGGAGCAAACAGGAUUAGAUACCCUGGUAGUCCACGCCGUAAACGUUGGGUACUAGGUGUGGCGAUCGGACUAACGAUUGCCGUGCCGAAGCUAACGCAUUAAGUACCCCGCCUGGGGAGUACGGCCGCAAGGCUAAAACUCAAG
RNAcentral lists this ribosomal RNA (507 nucleotides) under uncultured Actinobacteridae bacterium. RNAcentral describes it as "bacterial SSU rRNA". It matches the Rfam family "Bacterial small subunit ribosomal RNA", at positions 384 to 905 of the family's 1533-position model. The record is from RNAcentral. Lineage: Bacteria; Bacillati; Actinomycetota; Actinomycetes.